UAUUGGGUGAUCAGUGAUGUAACAUUUUUUAGAGUUGCAAAACGUGUAACUUGACAUGUUUAUUUUAUUAAUUAAUCUAUGUGUUGCAUAGAUAUGUUCCAUAAAACGUCGCUAUAUGCUUCCCUCCAAAUUUUUUAUUGCCGCACAAAAUUUCGCUCUAUUCUUCAUUUCCCACCUUUUUUUUCCCGCCAAAGCUUUUUUCUCUAAUUUUUUUUUUCUUUCUUUCUUUUCAUUCGGCUCCCACUUCUCAAGCUCUUAAAAGUUAAAAACCCAUUUUUCAUUUCCCAUCCAACUCCUUUUAUUUAUUUAUUUAUAUCUAACCCAUUUUCAUUUUCACCAUGCGGAGCUCUCUCUCACAUCUCCACCGCCCCUAGCCACCUCCCUAGCCCUAGCCACCACCACCUCCCUAGCCCUAACCGCCGCCACCGCCAUCGCCCUAGCUGUAGCCGCCGCCGCCAUAGAUAUACUCUCUCUCACCUCAACCACCACCCGCUGCCAUUAAUGGAAUAAUGAUUAUUUUCAAUCUUCAUAGUAUUUUUCUUAUCAUUGUUAUUGUUUUUUUUUUUUUUUUUCAGGAUAGAAGCUUUACUUUCAUUUUGAAGACACCCCCUGCUUCAGUUCUGCUUUUAAAAGACGCAGGUAUGCUUCUUUAACAAUGCCCAUUAUGUGUUUGAUUGUUUUACCCUUCGUUUGUUUGGCAUUUACUGAAUGUAAUUAAGCAUCUAAUUCUUGGAUUUUAACAGUGUGUUUCAGAGCUAUUACCAAUUUGAUGUAGUAACUUAUUGAGUGGUUAUUACUUGAAUCAAGCUUCGUUUUCAUACAUCCAACAUGUAAUGUUACAGCUUACAAGUAGAAUCUAGAAAACUAGAAUUUUUUCAUCACUGAUGUUUUCAUAUGGGAAAAUUUACUUAUUUGAAAAAGUGGAACAUCUUGGAUUUGAUUUCGGCAUUGACUCUUAUUGUGCUAGAUGAAAAGUGAACUCAUUAUUAUCUUGCUAAGGGCUCAUUAGAAUACUCAGAAUGGAGAAAUUGUGCGGAAAGUUUACUACGCUUUUUGAAAGGCCUCUUAAAUGAAAUACUCAUCUACAAACAUAACAAGCGAGCACCUGUCAGUGGCUCCAGACCAUAAAUUUUGAGAUGCUUAAAUCCUAAUGAACAACAAAUAUGAUAAUGAACUUUAAAGGGGAGAGUUUGGAAUAAUUUGAUUGUGUUCUAUACAAUUAAUUUGUGAUGGAAAAAGUGCUCGAUCCUGUAAGUUCUUCUUCAUUAGAUCAUCUCUCAAACCCACACUCACUGUAAGUUCUUCUUCUUUUCUUUCUAAAGGUUUUUUUAAUUUUUUUUUUAAUUUUUUUUGUUGAUUAAUGAAUGCCAUUGUUGUUUGAUAUAGUAUGUUGUGAAUUUUGUAAGUUAUUUUUUAUUAUGCUCAGUUUCCUUUUCUUAUUAAACCCAUGGACAAGCCUAUGUUACCAUUGAUCGGCACUCUACUGUUCUACUAAUUUUAUAUAUUAGUAUAAUAAUAGUAUAGCAUCGGAGUGGGGCUCAUCAAAGAACUAAGAACCCACGAGGUUGCCAUUGCCGAACUCAAUAAUCUUUAUUCAUCUAGAUUAAAGCUCAAGGAAACAUGAUAUGUGGUCCAUAUCUGCAUGAGGUUAACCACUCAUUUAUUGUGAUAAGGAAUUUGGAUGGUGUGUUAUGGACUGCAAUAUUUGGUAUUACGGUAAACCAUAUUGAAAUUAAAUUCCACUAAAAGUUCCAAAACAUAUGAGGGUCCAAUUAAUGAAUGCUUUAAGAAUGCAUUUGUAGAAUAUGUGAAACACCACUAUUCUGAUUGGAUGUUUCACAUUAAAAAUCCUAUUUUUAAGAAGUACACAAAAAGAAGAUCGUUACAAGAAUGAUCCUUCCUUCAUUCCUACACCCUUUUGAAAAAAGAUGGUGGAUAAAUGGAUGGAUGGAGAAUGAGGGGUGAGUAUAAAUGAAAUACAUGUUAUAAAUUCUCUCUAUCUCUCUUGCACUCUCUCUAACCAUUAUUUGUGGUUUACUUUUUUCACAAUUGUUAUAUUAUUUUAAUUUUAUUUAAUUUUGAUAGUGGUUUAAGUAAUCAAAUUAAGUUAUUAUUAUUGUUAAAUUAAAAAAAAAGUUAUUACUGUUGUUUAUGAUAUAUGAUAUGAUUAUAUUUGAUAUAGUAA
This is a long non-coding RNA of Quercus robur (English oak), 2185 nucleotides long. RefSeq lists it as uncharacterized. The transcript has 3 exons. NCBI's taxonomy places the organism in Eukaryota, Viridiplantae, Streptophyta, Magnoliopsida, Fagales, Fagaceae. The record is from RefSeq and is a predicted model, not a curated record.